This 73-nucleotide transfer RNA is filed under the name Actinomycetales bacterium. RNAcentral's name for it is "tRNA-Thr". It matches the Rfam family "tRNA". Rfam says of the family: Transfer RNA (tRNA) molecules are approximately 80 nucleotides in length. Their secondary structure includes four short double-helical elements and three loops (D, anti-codon, and T loops). Further hydrogen bonds mediate the characteristic L-shaped molecular structure. tRNAs have two regions of fundamental functional importance: the anti-codon, which is responsible for specific mRNA codon recognition, and the 3' end, to which the tRNAs corresponding amino acid is attached (by aminoacyl-tRNA synthetases). tRNAs cope with the degeneracy of the genetic code in two manners: having more than one tRNA (with a specific anti-codon) for a particular amino acid; and 'wobble' base-pairing, i.e. permitting non-standard base-pairing at the 3rd anti-codon position. Lineage: Bacteria; Bacillati; Actinomycetota; Actinomycetes; Actinomycetales. The record is from RNAcentral.
GCCUCCGUAGCUCAGCGGCCAGAGCAACCGCCUUGUAAGCGGUAGGUCGUCGGUUCGAUCCCGACCGGAGGCU